CGGGGUGGAGAGAGUGAGGCGGAAGAGGAGGAGGUGCCGUCCCACAAUACCAGGCGGGAGGGCGGUCGGCGGUUUGUAUCGGGGCUGUGAGGUGCUCGGCUCCUCGGCGGACCUUGCUGCCUCUGUCCCUUUAACGCGAGAGGAAGCGAUGCAGAGGGGUGGAAAAUGGCAGAGCUGCAGAUGUUACUAGAGGAGGAGAUCCCGUCUGGCAAGAGGGCGCUGAUAGAGAGUUACCAGAAUCUGACCCGGGUGGCGGACUACUGUGAGAACAACUACAUCCAGACUGUCCCAAAACCAAACUUAAGAGCGCUAAUGAAUGCUUCUGAGCAAUUCAAGAAUGUGGGAACAAAAUGUGGCCUUAUAACACUAGGAGGUAGAACUUUAUCUGAGCAUGAUAAUUCUGAUUAUGAAGAUGAAAAUAUAGUUGGACUUCUUUACAAACUACCAUUCAAAGCCAAUGACUUUUCUUGUCCUGCUUUUUCAAAACCUUCUGUCAAGUCGUUAGCAGGCCAUGGUGUUACAAAGGAAGGAGAGGUGCAGCCGGCAACUGGAAAAAAGGACAAUGGUAUUAAUAUUACUGAAAUUGCUCCACAAGAGCAAACAGUUAAUGACCAUCUGACUUCUGCUGAUAGAGCAUACAAAAAAGUAAUAGUAGUGUUACGAUGUCAGCGUUGGGAUUAGGAGAAGAGGAAGAUGGAGAAUCACCUUGGAAUUCUGAGUUGCAAGAAGCACAAGAUCGACAUGCAGAGGCUGUAAGAUGUAUUGAGACGUGGAAAGAUCACAUGCAAAAGCUUGAAGUUGAAAAUGCCAAGUUAAAAGGUACAGUCAAAAAACAAGCGCGCAAAAUUGAACAACUUCAGGAAAACCUGUUAAGUACAAGUUUGAUGCUGCUGAAUUUGAAUUAGACUCAUGGCAUAUGACCUCCUCUUUAGAAUGUACUUACGAAUCACAUGUAAAUGACGAUCUACUAGCGAAAUCGUCAAAAGAAUUUUUACAGACUUUGAAGAAAAAUUAUAUGUUCUGAAAGAUAAACAGUAAAAUUUAUUUACUGGAUGUUUGUAUAACAUUUUAAUUGUCCUACUAAACGUAUUGUGUGAAAAUCUUGAAUAAAGGAAAAUACUUCUGGA
Mirounga angustirostris (Northern elephant seal) is the source of this 1127-nucleotide RNA transcript. It is a transcript of the gene named ankyrin repeat domain-containing protein 26-like, with no coding region annotated. The record is from RefSeq and is a predicted model, not a curated record. Lineage: Eukaryota; Metazoa; Chordata; Mammalia; Carnivora; Phocidae. The transcript has 8 exons.